Molecule: ribosomal RNA, 329 nt
Filed under: uncultured bacterium
Lineage: Bacteria
Description: bacterial SSU rRNA
Rfam family: Bacterial small subunit ribosomal RNA
Source: RNAcentral
AAUCAACGCUGGCGGCGUGCCUCAGACAUGCAAGUCGAACGCUGCUGUUCGCCUUCGGGUGGACAGCGGAGUGGCGCACGGGUGAGUAACACGUAGGUAAUCUACCUUUGGGUGGGGAAUAACAGCCGGAAACGGCUGCUAAUACCGCAUAAUGCAGCGGCAUCACAUGAUGACAGUUGUUAAAGCGAGGGAUCGUAAGACCUCGCGCCUGAAGAGGAGCCUGCGGCAGAUUAGGUAGUUGGUGAGGUAAUGGCUCACCAAGCCUGCGAUCUGUAACCGGCCUGAGAGGGCGGUCGGUCACACUGACACUGACAUACGGGUCAGACUCC